RNAcentral lists this ribosomal RNA (484 nucleotides) under uncultured bacterium. RNAcentral's name for it is "partial 16S ribosomal RNA". It matches the Rfam family "Bacterial small subunit ribosomal RNA", at positions 30 to 507 of the family's 1533-position model. The record is from RNAcentral.
AUUGAACGCUGGCGGCAGGCCUAACACAUGCAAGUCGAGCGGAUGAAGGGAGCUUGCUCCUGGAUUCAGCGGCGGACGGGUGAGUAAUGCCUAGGAAUCUGCCUGGUCGUGGGGGAUAACGUCCGGAAACGGGCGCUAAUACCGCAUCCGUCCUGAGGGAGAAAGUGGGGGAUCUUCGGACCUCACGCUAUCAGCUGAGCCUAGGUCGGAUUAGCUAGUUGGUGGGGUAAAGGCCUACCAAGGCGACGAUCCGUAACUGGUCUGAGAGGAUGAUCAGUCACACUGGAACUGAGACACGGUCCAGACUCCUACGGGAGGCAGCAGUGGGGAAUAUUGGACAAUGGGCGAAAGCCUGAUCCAGCCAUGCCGCGUGUGUGAAGAAGGUCUUCGGAUUGUAAAGCACUUUAAGUUGGGAGGAAGGGCAGUAAGUUAAUACCUGGCUGUUUUGACGUUACCAACAGAAUAAGCACCGGCUAACUUCGUG